This 343-nucleotide ribosomal RNA is filed under the name uncultured fungus. RNAcentral's name for it is "eukaryotic LSU rRNA". The stretch from base 1 to 113 matches the Rfam family "5.8S ribosomal RNA", at positions 42 to 154 of the family's 154-position model. Lineage: Eukaryota; Fungi. The record is from RNAcentral.
AACGCAGCAAAGGGCGAUAGUUAAUGUGAAUUGCAGAAUUCAGUGAAUCAUCGAGUCUUUGAACGCACAUUGCGCCCAUUGGUAUUCCGAUGGGCAUGCCUGUUUGAGCGUCAUUGCAACCCUUCGGUUCAAAGUUUUAAUUAACUUUGGAACGGUCUUGGGGCACUGUGGCUGGCUGACCUCUGGUCGCACGCAGGCCUUAAAGUUGCACGCUCUGCGGGCCAACCGCCUGAACGAACAUAGUAGAAUCGAACUGUUUGCUUCACAAAGUUGGCUCCGCCUGAACAAAACCCCUCUUUUAAGGUUUGACCUCAGAUCAGGCAAGGAUACCCGCUGAACUUAA